GCCCGCACCCCUCGGAGGCUCUCCGGGAGACCCAGCUGCAGGGAGCACACCGCCCCGUGCCCCCUUGCGGGGCUGGGUGGCUUGAGUUUUGAGGAGGUGUGAAGCUCCCUAGGAGUUCCUGAGCAGCAAACCUAAUCCUGCAGCGAAGUCUUCGCAGGAAACCCUGCUCUCCACAGCGAACAAGGUCGGGGGAGGUCACGCCCAGGCCGGCCAAGGCUGGGGAAAAUGGCGGCCCCCGAGGCCUCACUGACGUCGCGUUGGCGCCACCACGUGGCUAAACAUGGUAUUGUUACUCCAAAGCAAGACACAGCCUCAUUGAACUAGGAAAUCUGCCCGCAGGAGGCCUCUGAACCUCUUCAAUAUACGCAACCCAAACUGGCAAGACGCCGUGCGGUGGAUCCAGGCAGUCAGGACUCAGAUCCCCUCGCCCCGUGAGUCUGAGUCCUUCAUCUGCUGGUCAGUGAAUGGAUCAAGAGUCGUGAGCGCGUUUGUGCAGGGAUGGCUGAGCGCCAAGACUUGACCCGAAGGGGUGCACACACGGUGAGCAGGCAGCUGUGAGUCACUGUGGAGUCGUCGGCUUGCGCAGAGCGCUGCUGUGAUUCGAGCACACCCAGGGAGGGUGCACACCGACCAGAUGGUGAGCAGGGCUCGGAGGAGGGUGUGAUGACAGCUCGCCUGCCUUCCCCUGCUGUCCCGGCCAAGAGCUGGGAGCAACACGAGUAUCCAUUAAUGGAUGCAUGGAGAAAUGAAACAUAGCACUCCCACAGCGGAGGACAGCAAAUGGACUACAAGCGGUGACACUGAUACCUGCUACAGUGGAUGAGUGAGAUAAGCCAGUUACCAGAAGACAAAUCCUGUGUGAUUCACUCACACACAGGGUCUUCAAAAACCUUACCGAAAAUGCACAUUUAAAAAAAUUCCAUUUUCCAUGAGUUUUUGAAGUCCCUUCAUAUAGCAACUUAGGGUUGUCAAGUUCACAGAGCUGGAGGGAGAGUGGAGGUGCCUGUGCCCAUGGGGUUGUGCAGGGGAAGUCAGUCCCAGAGCUGUCACACUCAGGUGUGAACACACACACACACACUGUGACCUGCACACUCAGACGUGGUCAGGGUCCGGGAGCUGUCACACUCGGGUAUGAACACACACACACUGACCAGCACACGCAGACGUGGUCAGGGUCCGGGAGCUAUCACACUUGGGUGUGAACACACACACACUGUGACCUGCACUCUCAGAUGUGGUCAGGGUCCGGGAGCUGUCACACUCGGGUGUGAACACACACACACUGUGACCUGCACUCUCAGACGUGGUCAGGAUGAUGCGUGUUGUGUUGUGUGCCCUUCAAUUACAAUGAACUUCCUCCUGCCUCUGCAUACAUCAGUCAGCCUGAUAGCUACACAUGGACAGCCGGGGGCGUCCAGAAGCACCAAGCCUGGCUGGGAGCAGAAACUCCAGCGGUGAACAGUGCUGUUGGCUUCCUGACCUCUGCUCCCUCUGACAAAAGGCUGUGUCUAGAAGAACCCUCUGUGAUGUUUGGGGAUCCUCCACCCCAGCUGAGCCCUGCUGGCUGAGUGGCUGUGUAUUGGCUCCCCAGAGACGUGCAGGGCCUCCUCGCCCUAGCACCUGGGGCUGCAUUGCCUCCCCUGGCACAAAGGACUUUGCAGAAGGGAUUAGGUUAAGGAGCUUGAGAAGGGACGGUGAUCCUGGAUUAUCUGGGUGGUAAUCACAGGAUCCACAAGAGGGAGGCACAAGGACUGGUUGGGAGUAAGAGAUGUGACAACUGAAGCAGAGUGUGGAGCGGUGGGAGGAAGGGACCAGGAACGAGGCAGGCAGCUGGGCUCUAGCAGUUGCCAAAGGCAAGGGAUGAAGUAUGCCCUGGGCUCCGGUAGGAGCCAGCCAGACCUCUAGCACUGAAGGGCACUGAAUGUGUGUGGUCUGAUGCCACCUGGUUCCUAGGAAUGGGUGACCACUGCCACAGGGCACCAGUGCAGCGGCGCUGUGCCGCGGUCUCUAGAGCUCACACGAUUGGACCCUCACCUUCCUGGUUCCGUGGGAGCAGGCUCCUGGGUGCAUUAGCUGGGGAUUGCCCAUCAGAGGCUCCUGUGAUAUGGAGUGAGUCACUCAAAGAAGGCAGUGGAAGGUUCUCGGGGGUGGUGGCAGUGGGACAUACAGGGUCUAAUGAGUGACCUUUGGGGUCCUGCCCAGCUUGUGCAGUGGCGCCUCCUGCUGAUCUGUUCUGUGUCCAGGGUCCAUCAGGGAGAGUGAUAGUGACAUCCUCACUUGGUCCUUACGGCAUGGCUUUGGCUCUGUAGCUCUGACUUUUAAAUAAAUAAAUAAAUCUUUAAAAAUAUUUUCCCUAUAUAUAUAUAGUGGUUUAUUUAUUUGAAAGGGAGAGAGAGAGAGAGAGAGAGAGA
This is a non-coding RNA of Oryctolagus cuniculus (rabbit), 2411 nucleotides long. Lineage: Eukaryota; Metazoa; Chordata; Mammalia; Lagomorpha; Leporidae. The record is from RefSeq and is a predicted model, not a curated record.